Molecule: ribosomal RNA, 256 nt
Filed under: uncultured bacterium
Lineage: Bacteria
Description: partial 16S ribosomal RNA
Rfam family: Bacterial small subunit ribosomal RNA
Source: RNAcentral
UACGUAGGGUGCAAGCGUUAAUCGGAAUUACUGGGCGUAAAGCGUGCGCAGGCGGUUUUGUAAGUCUGUCGUGAAAGCCCCGGGCUCAACCUGGGAAUUGCGAUGGAGACUGCAAGGCUUGAAUCUGGCAGAGGGGGGGUAGAAUUCCACGUGUAGCAGUGAAAUGCGUAGAGAUGUGGAGGAACACCGAUGGCGAAGGCAGCCCCCUGGGUCAAGAUUGACGCUCGAUGCACGAAAGCGUGGGGAGCAAACAGGA